This is a long non-coding RNA of Felis catus (domestic cat), 4736 nucleotides long. RefSeq lists it as uncharacterized. The transcript is spliced from 2 exons. Lineage: Eukaryota; Metazoa; Chordata; Mammalia; Carnivora; Felidae. The record is from RefSeq and is a predicted model, not a curated record.
UUCCAUUGGGCACUUUGACAUUCUGGUUUUAAAGCCUGAAGAAGUUACUCCUAAUAAAUAGACGGGGAGGAUGUGAACUAUUCCCCCAAUACAGUAAGAAUUGUUGCUUAUCUGGUGAGACUUGUUUUUUUUUUUUUUUUUUUCACUUGAGUAGUUUCGGGAAGAAGACUAUAGCAAGAAGCUGAGAAAUGUUAGCAGUGCAACAAAGAAAGAAAUGCUUCCACUGAAAACGAAACGCCCACAACCAUCCACAUAGGAUUAUCAUAAAUCCUUUAAUUUUUACUUUAGCUUGAAAAAUGUGGUCCAGCUAUUCUAUAAAGUAGGAUGUAUUAAAAACAGGAAUAGAGCGAUUAAGCUGUAAGGGAAGGAAGGUUCCUUUUUCUGAUUCUGAAAGCAAACAUUCUGAGCGUUGGUCCUUUGGCCAGGUUCAAAUUAACUACUUCUUAACCCUGCACCCGACAGUGCCAUCCAUUCUCUGACCAGAUGGAGCCCUUUGUCCGCAAAAUCCACCAUAUUGCCUUAGAUUUGGUUGCUGUUAUUGUUGCUGCUAUGGCUGGUUUUGUCUUGUUUCAACUGGCCAGAGUCAGGCAUUUCAGAAGAUAGUGCUUUAAUUGUGGCAAGGUUCACAAAAGAGAAACAUGGUUAUGUAAAGGUGCUAUUUCCAAAUAUCAUCUGACCAUUUUAUUGACUCUAGAAAGUAGAGUGAGGAGGGCAUCACGUAUUAUAGCCCUUGGAGGUUACUGGAGCUGAGUCAGGGAAACAGCUCAGUUAUACUGUCAUCGUGAGUUUCACUGAAAUGUUAUCAUCAGCUACAUUCUUGUUGCAGAAUAUCUGCAUGCGGCAGAGAUGGGGGGACAAAUAGACACAUAUUUGUAUUUUGUAGCUUCUGCGUUUCAUAAUAUGGUACUGAUAAGAAAAAUAAUUGUCACAUAUCCUUUAUAUGAACAGAGAAUGAACAUAACAGAAAUGAUAAAAUGUCUUUGUUUAUGAUUACAGCUAUGAUUUUGAAACAAUCAUAUUAGGAUAUCAUGCAAACAGAAUAAAUUUUGCAGAUUCCAAGGGCUCCACAUUCACAUUUCAAUCUGUUAUCAAAUAUCCCCUAAAUAACAGUGUGCAAAUAUUCUCUUUAAGUAUUUACCAUUAUAAAUGAAGGAAAGCCAUCCAUGGCUUGGGCUGAGGUAACCAGGCAUUGUUCCAAUGAAUGAAUUAUUAAUGUGGAAUAAAGUAGGAGAGGAAGUAUUCAGUGGAGGGGUGAACAUCAACACAGAUCCCCAAGGGUUUAGCCUUGAAUUUGAUGUGAAACUCACACUCUGUGUGACUGCUGAAAAAAGACAGUCCACUUAUUUGUACUUCUCUCCAUUUCCUUGUGAAAUUUGACUAGCACUAUAUUAACAGAGUAAUGGUUGUAAGUAAUAAUAAUAAUAAUCUUACCACCUUUAAAGCACUUUCUGCAAUACAAAUAACAUUAUUGUCAUAGAAGAUUAAAAUUUCUUAAUAACUGAUUCCCCCUUUUUCCUUUCUGCUUUUUUCUUCUAAAAUUGUGAGGCCAUUUUAUAUCAAAAAUACUUCGUGUUCUUAAAGAAAGGCUGGGAUAUUUCAGGAUUCUGGAAACAGAAAUGGAUAAAACCGCGUAGGAAUCAAUUUUACCAUGAGAAUUCUGAGAGGUAAUAUUGCCACGGGGAAAAGUUUCGAGCUGUGGACUCCAAGUGGAUCUGAGGCUGCAUGGCUGCACUGCCACAUGUGUGGCCAAGGCAGGUUGUUAACCUUCCCGGCUUUAGUUUCUUCAUCUGGAAAAUGCAGGCAGUGAAGCCUGCCGCAUGGACUUACAUGAGACAGGAACUAGUGGCUGGCACAUAGUAGGUGCAUAAAGACAGUAUUAUUAUUGGCAAGCAGAUCAGUUAUAAACACUCUACUAAAUCUAUCUGUAAUGCACAAAUAUUGAUUUUUAUAUCAUUGCAGAAGUAAAAUGAGGUAAUUAAGGGAUCUCCCAAUGGAUGGAAAAGGUAGAAGAUGGAGGCAAAAUCCCUUCCCAAUCAUAGCUUCAACUUAACGAGUUGGAUGUAGGUAUUUUAUUGGCAGCUAGACCUAUUUCCCUAUCUUACCAUCAUCCCUACCCCACCCCCACCUCCUUGAAGUUAUAACAUAUAAGAAGAUAUCUACUGGGGCGGGGGGGGGGGGGGAAGCAAGGGCAAUAAUUGAAGUUGUCAUGAUUCCCAGCAUUGCUGCUUCAGAUGUGUUUAAGACUGUAAAUAGGGCAUUUCCCCAAAUCUAUCUUUGGGGUUAUGCUUCAUCAACAGGCAAAAGGAUUUGAGUAUAAUGUGUUUUUAUCACAAUUAAGAAUAGGCCAAAAUAAUUUUUUAAGGGAAAAAAAUGUUUGUUCCUUCUGUGGCAACAAGUUGGUACACAUUUUUUUUUUUUGAGAGAGAGACAGAGUGGGGAGGGGCAGAGGGAGAAGAGAGAAUCUUGAGCAGGCUCCACACUCAGCGUGGAGCCUGACAGUGUGGAUCCCACAACCCUGGGAUCAUGACCUGAGCUGAAAUCAAGAAUCAGAUGCCCAACUGAGGAGCCACCCAGGAGCCCCUGGUCCACUUUUAAAUAGAUAUGGAACAAAACACAUACCUGAUGUGAUGAUCUGGAUCCACAAGGUCAAGAAACUUUUGGAAAAAAAAAAAAAAAAAGAUUAAACUAUAGCAGAGGUUCCAAAACAUUCUUGGUUUGCAGUGCCCUUGAUAUUUCAAUAAUUGUUUUUACAGUGCCCUUAGGACACAAGAAAUAGAGCCAAACAACUUAACAGGUAUUUAUGUUCUAACAAAUAAGUAGUUAUUUGAAAAAAAAUACACAGCAAUCAGCAGAAAAACCAAUAUUUUAAUUUUAUUCAUAAAUAACCACAGUUACUUACAGCAUGUGGGCAUCUCCCAGGCACUGUACAACUUCUAAGAUCAGACGCUGCCCCUCAGUUCCUUUUCCACAUUGAUUUUGCAUUGUACUCUCUUAUUAUCACAAGUUCGAUGGGAAAAUAUAAAUAUAUGACAUCAUCGAAAGGAAUGGAGCACCACCUACUGUUGAAACUGUUAACUUCUCUGGCCUAGUAAUUCACAAGGAGACUCACAGAGCCCAAGUGUUGCUAGUAUUUCCCUCGCAAUGUUAAAAUACUUCCUGGCACCACAGUGGGUUCCCUGCUACACCCCAGGAUGCCUCAGCAUGCACUGUGGACAGCACUGGACUGUAGAUCAUAAAUUGAAGAGCAGAAACCUCCUCGCGCUAAUUUGACAGGUGAUUCAAAGAAGCCAUUUAACGACUGCCGCUUGAAACAGCAGCAUCAGAUUAAAGCAUCGUCACAGCUAACAUUUACUGAGCCUUACUUUGUUCCAGACACGCUGCUCACUGCUUCAGAUGUAUUAACUCCUUGGAAUUUCACAACAACCCUACAGACUAGAUGCGAUUUAGAUCCCUGUCUUACAGAUGAGUAAACCAAGGCUCAGAGCACUCAAGUAUUUGCCUGCUAGACUUGGCGGUCAGCGUCUGUCUGACCUCGUAACAGCUCAGUUAUUUUCCUUCCCCUGUACAUCCACUACUUCACAGAGCCAUUGCAAGGCACAAAUGAAAAACAUUCCCAGAACACGCUUUGGCAUUCAGUGAUUGCGUCUGGCUCAAUACCACAAAUAUCUGCUGAGAACCUGCUGUGUGAAACCCAAGGGUAGAGAGGAAAAAAAAAUGUUAAGACUAGUUUCAAAGAGCUACACAAAUAUGUUUGCAUUAUUAUAAUGCACAAUGCUUUUACUUUUCCUUGAUCUUAAUUUUCAGAAUACAUCAGUGAUAUUCAAAAUAGUUACAUGUGAGCAUUUUAAAAUUAGAUAUGCAAUUAGCAGUCUUUUUGGUCAUUGUGAUGAAAAUGUGUCUUUUCUUUUUAUUUCCCUUGAUAACCUUCUCUAAACUUCUAUUCUGGUUCAAUGACCUGCAAUAAUCUUUUCUCCCUGAGUCAGGACAAGUGCCUUGGGCACAUCUUUCUUCUUCAUCAUUUAAAUUUAAUGUUCAGCCAUUUAACAUUUUUAUAUUUCAAUUGGUUAGUGUAUUUAAGAGACCGUGCACUCGCUGGUUGAAUGUACUUUUUAAAAAUGUUUCAAAAGUAACUUCCCAACUGCCAAUAUUGGCAGUAAUCCUCAUUGUGUUUCCCUGUCACCACCUGAUUUCCCUUUCUUAAUGACAAAAGCUUCAAUUUGCUAUUUGAUGCUAAGAUGUCCUGUGUAACAGCAGUUCUCUUUCUGAAUCUUAAACUCUCCACAUAGUCGCUCGUGUGGAGAACAGCACAGUUAGAAUGCCUGACCUUGGUCAUAAACCCAAAGGCAACUGUUCAAUUGCCUGGGUCACACAAGUAGAGUAAAAUAUAGAAAGAAAAAGAAGGACCCAAUCCCAAAUCCUCCAACUUCCACGUCAUUAUGUCUGUGGAAUCCUAUGUCCUCCUGCUGGCAAUUCAAUUUGUUGAACGAAAUGGAGGGAUCAAGGUGAAUAUGAGAGAGUUAAGGAUUCGGGUCCUAUUUGUUCCCACUGAGCUAUUUUACCUCCGUACUCCACAAGUCGAACAGAUCUAGAGGUUGUUAGAAGGUUAUAGAGAUGCUACAUGUUCAUUAUAACAAAUUCCCUCCAAUCUAUAUUAUAGACAUGGCUAAGUAUUUGUUUACUCAUUACCUUACUUGUUUGUACUAUUAUUAAACAAUAUAAACACUUGAUUUGCAGCA